RNAcentral lists this long non-coding RNA (1502 nucleotides) under Phascolarctos cinereus (koala). RNAcentral describes it as "lncRNA (ENSPCIG00000037474.1)". Lineage: Eukaryota; Metazoa; Chordata; Mammalia; Diprotodontia; Phascolarctidae. The record is from RNAcentral.
GGGGGUGAGGUAGGAGAAACAGUGAGCAAAGCACUGGAGGUUAAGAAUGAGCUUGGUGUUAAUUUGGAUCACUGGAAGCCUGUAUUAGAGGUUGGGGUAUGUGGAGGGAAAUAAUGAGAGACAAGCCUGGAAAGGUAGGUUGAGAUUCCAUGUCAGAAUUCCUUGAGUGCCAGGUUGAGCUAUUUCAUAUCUAUCUUGUAAUCAGUAGGGAGACAUAGGUUCUUGAACAGGAAAAGACACAAAAUAGAAUUAUAGGUUAUUAGAACUGUUAGGCAACUUAGAAAUCAUUUAGUCUAAAUACCUCAUGUGAGAUCUAGAGAAGUUAACCAGUUUGCCCAAUACCACACAGCUAGCUAAUUGGUAACAAAGCCAGUAUUAGAACCCAGGUCUCCUGACUCUUUGGAUAGCCAGGUGGCAUAGGGAAUAGGGUACUGGACCUGAAGUCAAGAAGACUCCUCUUCCCAAGUUCAAAUCUAGUCUCAGACACUUACUGGCUGUGUAGCCCCUGUGGCUAGUUACUUAACCCUGUUUGCCUCAGUUUCCUCAUCUGCAAAAUGAGCUGGAGAAAGAAAUAGCAAACUACUCCAAUAUCUUUGCCAAGAAAGCCUCAAAUAGGGUCCCAAAGGGUUGGACAUGACUAAAAUGACUGAACCCCAACAACUCCUAACUCUAGUUUUCUUUUCAUAACUAAAGUGUGAUUUUAGGACACUCAAUCUGAUCAGGAUGUUAAGAUGGACAAAAGUGAAGACCAGUUCAGAGGCUAUAUUGGAAUAGUCCAGGGUAGACAUAGUGUUGGCUUAAAUUUAGUGUUGAUUCUGGAAAAAGAACAGAGAUGAGGAAUUUUGAGGGUAGACUUUACAGAACUUGGUGGGUAGAAGGAGAAGAAUGCAUUGGCUGACACAUUGUGAGUGAGUAAUCAAUGCUUACUGAUGUAUGACACAUCACAGGUUUAGAGCCUUGGUGACUGGAAGAAGGAUGGUACCAUGAACAAAAAUUUUAUGGCAGGAGGAAGAGCAGGUCUUCAAGGGGCAAAGAAAUGGAAACUGAAGGAAUGCCCACCUAUUAGAGAACAAUUUAACAAGUUAUGGCAUAUAAAUUUGGUGGAACACUAUUGUGCUAGAAGAAAUGAUGAAGGAGAUGAUUUCAGAGAAACCUGGGAAGAUUUAUAUUAACUGAGUGAAGUGGGCAGAACUAGGUCACUUUAUACAGAGACAACAAUCUCACUUAGACAAACUUUGAAAGACUUAAGAACUGUGAUCAAAGCAAUGAACAGCCAUGAUUCCAGACGGCUUAUGAUGAAACAUACUACCAAUGUAGCAUGUUUAAUAGAUAUAUAUAUACCCAUAUCUUCUUCUUAUGCUACCCAGUUAAGAAUCCUUGCAAAAAAAAAAAAGAUUUUUGACCAGUCUCUCUGAUAAGGGCCUCAUUUCUAAAAUACAUAGAGAAUUAAGUCAAAUUUACAGGAAUACAAGUCAUUCACCAAUUGAUAAAUGGUCAAAGGA